AAUCAACGCUGGCGGCGUGCCUCAGACAUGCAAGUCGAACGAUUAAAGCUCUCUUCGGAGAGUGUAUAGAGUGGCGUACGGGUGAGUAACACGUAAGUAAUCUACCUUUGAGUGGGGAAUAACGUCCGGAAACGGACGCUAAUACCGCAUAAUGCAGCGGCAUCGCAAGAUGACAGUUGUUAAAGAAUUUAUUCGCUUGAAGAGGAGCUUGCGGCAGAUUAGCUAGUUGGUAAGGUAAUGGCUUACCAAGGCUACGAUCUGUAACCGGUCUAAGAGGACGGUCGGUCACACUGACACUGAAUAACGGGUCAGACUCCUACGGGAGGCAGCAGUCGGGAAUUUUGGGCAAUGGGCGAAAGCCUGACCCAGCAACGCCGCGUGAAGGAUGAAGUAUUUCGGUAUGUAAACUUCGAAAGAAUGGGAAGAAUCAAUGACGGUACCAUUUAUAAGGUCCGGCUAACUACGUGCCAGCCGCCCG
This 478-nucleotide ribosomal RNA is filed under the name uncultured bacterium. RNAcentral's name for it is "bacterial SSU rRNA". It matches the Rfam family "Bacterial small subunit ribosomal RNA", at positions 32 to 517 of the family's 1533-position model. The record is from RNAcentral.